AUUGACAAAAAACAGAUUCAAACUUAUGGAUUUAAGAAGGAAAAUCACGAAAUUCGAAUAUAAUAUAAAUCACGAGACUCAUUUGUUGUUUUUAAACAAUAUAAAAAGAGGAUAAUGCAAACUAUAUAUAUCCAUUCAAACAACAUAAAUCAUAUUUCAGUUUCUAAGAGGUUUUUCUCAACUCUUUAUUGCUUACUCAACAUUUCAAUUGUGUUUUUGUUCUCCUUUCUCUAUAAACUGAUGACAACCUCGAUGUCGUCACUAUUCAAAACAAAAGAUCUUUGAUUUUAAUUGUUAUAUUAUUCCCAUUUUUCUAUUUGAUUUUUCUUUUCUGCAUGUAAAAAAAAUGAGUUAUACGUAGAAACAUGACUUGUUUUAUAUAAUGCAGAUUUAAAUUCUAUUGUUGGUUUUCUUCAAUCCCUGACAAUGAAUGAAUCCGACAAUCUCACUCCUUCUCGACCACGGUCGAUGACUCAGCCUCCACUUGCCUUCUCAUUAUUGCCCCCAUUGAACCCUUCUUCGUCGUCAUCCCGUUGCAAUUCAUUACCAUUGAUGAACCUUUCUCCCUCAGCUCCUGUGGAGAGUAGAGACUCUUCCAUUAAGGUUAAGAAAAACCCUUCAUUCCCUCAUUUGGGUGUGAAGAGAAGAGCAUCCAAAGACAUUUCACAUUGAGGAGACAUUACAUGAGUGUUUCAUUUGAUAGUUGUUUAUAUUACUUACCGAAGCUGCCUCCUUCUCAAGGUAAUGUUUCCUCUUCAAGUUCAAUUGAUGGAGACGAGAAUGCUUCUGGGCUCGAGUUUGGUAGCGGUGAUUAUACUGAUGAUGAAUUGAAUAAGAUUGCAAAGAGUACCAAACUUCAAGAGAUUGCAUCUGACCCUAAGAAAGUCAGAAGUUCAGUGAACUUGUAUGACUAAAUUAUUAUU
This 923-nucleotide small RNA is filed under the name Arabidopsis thaliana (thale cress). RNAcentral's name for it is "ATSL096390". Lineage: Eukaryota; Viridiplantae; Streptophyta; Magnoliopsida; Brassicales; Brassicaceae. The record is from RNAcentral.